This 429-nucleotide ribosomal RNA is filed under the name Cryptocercus primarius. RNAcentral describes it as "partial 12S ribosomal RNA". Lineage: Eukaryota; Metazoa; Arthropoda; Insecta; Blattodea; Cryptocercidae. The record is from RNAcentral.
AAACUAGGAUUAGAUACCCUAUUAUUUUUGAUGUUAAUUAUUUAACCUGAGUAGUAAUAGAUAUGUUCUUGAAACUUAAAGAAUUUGGCAGUAUUUUAUUCUGUUUAGAGGAACCUGUUCUUUUAUCGAUAAUCCUCGUUGGACCUUACUUAAUUUAUUGAUUUGUAUACCGCCGUUGUAUUGAGGAUCUUUAUAGUGUUUUAAUUUUCUUAAUUUUAUUUGAAGUUAUUUCAGGUCAAGGUGCAAUUUAUGGUUAAGUAGAAAUGGGUUACGUUUAUAUUUAUUUUUGGAUUGUUAAAUGAAAUUUUAACAUGAAAUUGGAUUUGAAUGUAAUUAUUAUUUUAGAUUGUAUUAAUGAUUUAGUUUCUAGAGUGUGUACACAUCGCCCGUCACUCUCGUUAUUUAUUCGAGAUAAGUCGUAACAUAGUA